RNAcentral lists this ribosomal RNA (257 nucleotides) under uncultured bacterium. RNAcentral's name for it is "partial 16S ribosomal RNA". It matches the Rfam family "Bacterial small subunit ribosomal RNA", at positions 524 to 779 of the family's 1533-position model. The record is from RNAcentral.
GACGAAGGUGGGCGACCGUUGUUCGGAAUCACUGGGCAUAAAGAGCUCGUAGGCGGUGAGAAAAGUAGGGUGUGAAAUCCCUCGGCCCAACCGAGGAACUGCGCUCUAAACUGUCUUGCUUGAGGACCGAAGGGGACCACGGAAUUCCUGGUGGAGCGGUGAAAUGCGUUGAUAUCAGGAGGAACACCGGCGGCGAAGGCGGUGGUCUGGUCGGUUUCUGACGCUGAGGAGCGAAAGCUAGGGGAGCAAACGGGAUU